Molecule: ribosomal RNA, 462 nt
Filed under: uncultured bacterium
Lineage: Bacteria
Description: partial 16S ribosomal RNA
Rfam family: Bacterial small subunit ribosomal RNA
Source: RNAcentral
GACGAACGCUGGCGGCGUGCCUAACACAUGCAAGUCGGGCUGAAAGGCCCUUCGGGGUACUCGAGCGGCGAACGGGUGAGUAACACGUGAGUAACCUGCCCCAGACUUUGGGAUAACCCUCGGAAACGGGGGCUAAUACCGGAUACGACACAGCUUCGCAUGGGGUCUGUGUGGAAAGUUUUUCGGUGUGGGAUGGGCUCGCGGCCUAUCAGCUUGUUGGUGGGGUGAUGGCCUACCAAGGCGACGACUGGUAGCCGGCCUGAGAGGGCGACCGGCCACACUGGGACUGAGACACGGACCAGUCUCCUACGGGAGGCAGUAGUGGGGAAUAUUGCACAAUGGGCGGAAGCCUGAUGCAGCGACGCCGCGUGAGUGAUGACGGCUUUCGGGUUGUAAACCUCUUUCAGCAGGGACGAAGCGUAAGUGACGGUACCUGCAGAAGAAGCGCCGGCCAACUACGUG